This 426-nucleotide unclassified non-coding RNA is filed under the name uncultured Agaricales. RNAcentral describes it as "sequence contains ITS2". The stretch from base 1 to 154 matches the Rfam family "5.8S ribosomal RNA". The record is from RNAcentral. Lineage: Eukaryota; Fungi; Basidiomycota; Agaricomycetes; Agaricales.
AACUUUCGACAACGGAUGACUUGGCUCUCGCAUCGAUGAAGAACGCAGCGAAAUGCGAUAAGUAAUGUGAAUUGCAGAAUUCAGUGAAUCAUCGAAUCUUUGAACGCACCUUGCGCUCCUUGGUAUUCCGAGGAGCAUGCCUGUUUGAGUGUCAUUAAAUUCUCAACCUUAUCAGUUUAUUUCUGAUAGUGGCUUGGAUGUGGGGGUUUUUCUUGCUGGCUCCUUCAUCGAGGUCAGCUCCCCUUAAAUGCAUUAGCUGGUGCCCUGUGUGGACUGUCGUCUAUUGGUGUGAUAAUUAUCGACGCCAUGGAUGUCUGCUAUUAGCACUGCUUCUAACCGUCUGUUAAUUCGGACAAUACAUGACAAUUUGACCUCAAAUCAGGUAGGACUACCCGCUGAACUUAAGCAUAUCAAUAAGCGGAGGCU